This 253-nucleotide ribosomal RNA is filed under the name uncultured bacterium. RNAcentral describes it as "partial 16S ribosomal RNA". It matches the Rfam family "Bacterial small subunit ribosomal RNA", at positions 524 to 776 of the family's 1533-position model. The record is from RNAcentral.
UACGUAGGGUGCAAGCGUUGUCCGGAAUUAUUGGGCGUAAAGAGCUUGUAGGCGGUUUGUCGCGUCUGCUGUGAAAUUUCGGGGCUCAACCCCGAACUUGCAGUGGGUACGGGCAGACUAGAGUGUGGUAGGGGAGACUGGAAUUCCACGUGUAGCGGUGAAAUGCGUAGAGAUGUGGAGGAACACCAGUGGCGAAGGCGGCAUCCUGGACCAACACUGACACUGAGGAGCGAAAGCCAGGGGAGCAAACGGG